CACAUGCAGUCGAGCGGUAGCACAGAGAGCUUGCUCUCGGGUGACGAGCGGCGGACGGGUGAGUAAUGUCUGGGAAACUGCCUGAUGGAGGGGGAUAACUACUGGAAACGGUAGCUAAUACCGCAUAACGUCGCAAGACCAAAGUGGGGGACCUUCGGGCCUCAUGCCAUCAGAUGUGCCCAGAUGGGAUUAGCUAGUAGGUGGGGUAAUGGCUCACCUAGGCGACGAUCCCUAGCUGGUCUGAGAGGAUGACCAGCCACACUGGAACUGAGACACGGUCCAGACUCCUACGGGAGGCAGCAGUGGGGAAUAUUGCACAAUGGGCGCAAGCCUGAUGCAGCCAUGCCGCGUGUAUGAAGAAGGCCUUCGGGUUGUAAAGUACUUUCAGCGAGGAGGAAGGCAUUAAGGUUAAUAACCUUAGUGAUUGACGUUACUCGCAGAAGAAGCACCGGCUAACUCCGUGCCAGCAGCCGCGGUAAUACGGAGGGUGCAAGCGUUAAUCGGAAUUACUGGGCGUAAAGCGCACGCAGGCGGUCUGUUAAGUCAGAUGUGAAAUCCCCGGGCUCAACCUGGGAACUGCAUUUGAACUGGCAGGCUU
This 598-nucleotide ribosomal RNA is filed under the name bacterium amp-w-78. Its description in RNAcentral is "bacterial SSU rRNA". It matches the Rfam family "Bacterial small subunit ribosomal RNA", at positions 52 to 643 of the family's 1533-position model. The record is from RNAcentral.